AAUUAUCCCAGAGAAUUGUUUAUAUUAAAAACAGGCUGAGAGUUGUUGGAACUGUCAUCACCCCCCAAAUUGGAAGACAAACAUUCUUCUUGUCAGGAUUUCUUCAGAAAUCCCCUG
Non-coding RNA from Vicugna pacos (alpaca), 117 nucleotides. The record is from Rfam. NCBI's taxonomy places the organism in Eukaryota, Metazoa, Chordata, Mammalia, Artiodactyla, Camelidae.